This 497-nucleotide ribosomal RNA is filed under the name uncultured bacterium. Its description in RNAcentral is "partial 16S ribosomal RNA". It matches the Rfam family "Bacterial small subunit ribosomal RNA", at positions 28 to 507 of the family's 1533-position model. The record is from RNAcentral.
GAUGAACGCUGGCGGCGUGCCUAAUACAUGCAAGUCGAGCGAACAGACGAGGAGCUUGCUCCUCUGACGUUAGCGGCGGACGGGUGAGUAACACGUGGAUAACCUACCUAUAAGACUGGGAUAACUUCGGGAAACCGGAGCUAAUACCGGAUAAUAUAUUGAACCGCAUGGUUCAAUAGUGAAAGACGGUUUUGCUGUCACUUAUAGAUGGAUCCGCGCCGCAUUAGCUAGUUGGGAAGGUAACGGCUUACCAAGGCAACGAUGCGUAGCCGACCUGAGAGGGUGGUCGGCCACAUGGGAGCUGAGACACGGUCCAGACUCCUAAGGGAGGCAGCAGUAGGGAAUCGGCCGCAAUGGGCGAGAGCCUGACGGAGCAACGCGGCGUGAGUGAUGAAGGUCUUCGGAUCGUAAAACUCUGUUAUUAGGGAAGAACAACUGUGUAAGUAACUAUGCACGUCUUGACGGUACCUAAUCAGAAAGCCACGGCUAACUACGUG